GAUGAACGCUGGCGGCGUGCUUAACACAUGCAAGUCGAACGGAAAGGCCCAAGCUUGCUUGGGUACUCGAGUGGCGAACGGGUGAGUAACACGUGGGUGAUCUGCCCUGCACUUCGGGAUAAGCCUGGGAAACUGGGUCUAAUACCGGAUAGGACCACAUUCUGGAUGGUGUGGUGGAAAGUUUUUCGGCGUGGGAUGAGCUCGCGGCCUAUCAGCUUGUUGGUGGGGUAAUGGCCUACCAAGGCGUCGACGGGUAGCCGGCCUGAGAGGGUGUACGGCCACAUUGGGGCUGGGAUACGGCCCAGACUCCUACGGGGGGCAGCAGUGGGGAAUAUUGCACAAUGGGCGCAAGCCUGAUGCAGCGACGCCGCGUGGGGGAUGACGGCCUUCGGGUUGUAAACUCCUUUCGCUAGGGACGAAGCGUUAUGUGACGGUACCUGGAGAAGAAGCACCGGCUAACUACGUG
This 466-nucleotide ribosomal RNA is filed under the name uncultured bacterium. Its description in RNAcentral is "partial 16S ribosomal RNA". It matches the Rfam family "Bacterial small subunit ribosomal RNA", at positions 28 to 507 of the family's 1533-position model. The record is from RNAcentral.